RNAcentral lists this transfer RNA (76 nucleotides) under Crocinitomicaceae bacterium. Its description in RNAcentral is "tRNA-Trp". It matches the Rfam family "tRNA". Rfam says of the family: Transfer RNA (tRNA) molecules are approximately 80 nucleotides in length. Their secondary structure includes four short double-helical elements and three loops (D, anti-codon, and T loops). The record is from RNAcentral. Lineage: Bacteria; Pseudomonadati; Bacteroidota; Flavobacteriia; Flavobacteriales; Crocinitomicaceae.
ACGGGUGUAGCUCAGCUGGUAGAGUAGUGGUCUCCAAAACCAUUGGUCGUGGGUUCGAAUCCUACCGCCCGUGCUA